UCCAGCCUGCCAGUGACAAAUGUUCAACGGCCGCGGUAUCCUAACCGUGCGAAGGUAGCGUAAUCACUUGUUCUUUAAAUGUGGACUAGUAUGAACGGCACCACGAGGGUUAUACUGUCUCCUUUCUCCAAUCAGUGAAACUAAUCUCCCCGUGAAGAAGCGGGGAUAAAAAUAUAAGACGAGAAGACCCUAUGGAGCUUAAAAGUUUACUUCAAACGCUAACCCCUACAAAGUCAUAGACUACCACAAGAAGCCACGCGCCAUGAAAACAACUUUUAGGUUGGGGUGACCAUGGAGCACAAAACAACCUCCACGCUGAACAGGCCUCCAAGCCUCGAGCCAAGGGCCACAACCCGCCGCACUAAAAAAUUAACAUCCAUUGAUCCAAUGAAUUUUGAUCAACGAACCAAGUUACCCUAGGGAUAACAGCGCAAUCUACUUCAAGAGUUCCUAUCGACAAGUGGGUUUACGACCUCGAUGUUGGAUCAGGGUGUCCCAGUGGUGCAGCCGCUACUAAUGGUUCGUUUGUUCAACGAUUAAAACCCUACGUGAUCUGA
This 557-nucleotide ribosomal RNA is filed under the name Scinax cf. nasicus RB-2011. Its description in RNAcentral is "partial 16S ribosomal RNA". It matches the Rfam family "Bacterial large subunit ribosomal RNA", at positions 1853 to 2608 of the family's 2925-position model. The record is from RNAcentral. Lineage: Eukaryota; Metazoa; Chordata; Amphibia; Anura; Hylidae.